RNAcentral lists this long non-coding RNA (816 nucleotides) under Mus caroli (Ryukyu mouse). RNAcentral's name for it is "RIKEN cDNA A630091E08 gene (MGP_CAROLIEiJ_G0006592.1)". Lineage: Eukaryota; Metazoa; Chordata; Mammalia; Rodentia; Muridae. The record is from RNAcentral.
CUAGUCUAGGGCAGAGUGUGUUGUAUGCAGCCCCAGUAGGGAUGAAGGAGACAUGGAACACUGACCACACCUCAUGAUGGAUGGAUGGAAAGUGAAGGAUGGCGCCAUGCUGGCCAGCCCUGAUGUUGCAUCUUACAGGGCAAAAGGGUCCCGACCUCCCAGUAAGAGAAGACUUAAGGGGUGGUGCCAGCAUGACCUGGAUGCAGCCCUGCCAACAAGCCUCCACUGUGAAGCAGACUGCCUUGGGAAGUUCCCAUCGUUAUACCAGAGCCAGAAGCCUUCUAACCAGGGCUCCUUAUGGAGGAUAAUUCAAAGACUGGAGGAAAGGCCAUACCUUCCCAUCUGGCGGCCAUACCUAGUGUACUCUGAGACAGACACAGACGCCCCUUCCUGGGCCCUAGUCUCCCCACUGUUUGUCCUAGUCUUUCAGGAGACACACCUCUACCUUCCCAGACAGAGCCCCUCUUGUUCCCAUAAACCCCCACUAAAUCUCUUCACACUGAGCCUUGGGACUCCCUUGCAUGUCACUGUCCCAUUUUAGCAUACAUUGUCCUUCCUGCUGCGAAUGGUCUCUCCCAUUGGCCGGCCUGUCAACUGCUACUAACCUGGCUUCAGUGUCCCCUGUUACUGCUGUUUCAGGACCUGGCAAUCAAGGCAGAAGAGGCCUUGCCCAACCCAGCCCUUUUGAACUGUCAAGAUAGGAAACCUGGGACUACCAAGAUCUCUCAGGAGGGAAAGGAAUGCACUUGCCUUCAAGUCUCACAGUCUGAGUUUGAUUCUGGGACCCAAGUUGAGUGAGAAAAAAUUCAAUUCCUG